Molecule: long non-coding RNA, 3048 nt
Organism: Pezoporus occidentalis (night parrot)
Lineage: Eukaryota; Metazoa; Chordata; Aves; Psittaciformes; Psittacidae
Exons: 2
Source: RefSeq, a predicted model, not a curated record
UGAUAUUCAGUUUGUACGUCUGAAAGCAGGGUUGCUCUCUUUGGCCCACCCUCCAUUAUAGACACCCUCUAACAUCAUCUUGUCUACUUGAAAAUUAAAAUUGUUUUGGGACCAAUACAGUGUUACCAGAAUUAACAAAUCACUUACUGUGAAAAUGCUGUGAGUUUCUACAAGCACAGUUGUAUGCCAGCAUAUCGUUCUUGUCUUUCUGAUAUCAAACUUUUUUUCCCUUGACAUAGCAGAGUGAUUGUGACCUUCUGAAACUUUGUGAUGCUCUUGAGCCAUGAUUCCUGAAUUUAGAAUCCUAACUUUCAUGAGAGGAAAUACACCAGGAAAGCAAAUAAACUACUUUUAACUAGCUAGGAUAAAACACUGGGUAAUACAUGAUACAGGAUAAUUGUUUUGGCAGCAGGAAGGAAGACUUUGUACUACCUUGGGUCAUUUUCUGUUCACAUCUGUAAUUUGUGUGAUUGUGUCCUUGGAUAAGUGGAGUUCUUUCUGGCAUUCUUCAGUGAGAGGUUAUGUUAAUAAUGCAACUUUCAUUUUAAUUUUACCUUUUUUUGGGUCAAAGUUCAUUCAUUUUUUCCCAGAAUUUGGUUUCAUAGCUUUUUUUCUGCAUGUGAAGCUUUUAAUGGCACCAUAGCAUGACAAGAUACAAUAAACUCUGCUGAACUUUAAAAGCUGUUUUAUAUGUAUUUUUGGUUACAUGGUUAAUGAUGGGUUAAAAACUAACCCAGCUGAGGGAAGAAGAGGUUAGAGGGGAAUGCUUUCUUUGUAUUAUUCAGACUCAGAGUAAAUUUGCAUGAAAAUUUUAUCAGCAUUCUUGGUGCUGUGACUUCUCUGAAUGAAUUCCCUACAGAUGCAAAUUUUUGGACUGACUUCUUUAUCUUUCUUCUUUUGAGAUACUAGCUUAAAAGGAUGGAUCUGCCUUUUAUGUCUAGAGAAUGAUGCCUUGAGACUUGCCACUAUUUCAAAGCCUGUCCAGCUGUUGAAAGUAAAGAGCAGUUCUGCAGACAGCUUUGACUUGUACUGGGGGUGAAGUCAAGGCCAAAGAAUCUGGGGGAGCAGCCACUUCUUUGACCAACCUUUUUUCUAUAGUUAGUGGAAAUUGCUUAGAACGCUUCAUGCUCUGAGCGUAAGCCUGCUGAUGUAUAAGAAACCUAAAAGAGUUGGACAUUUUGUUAGGGAAUGUAUUUAUCUCUCUAAAUCUUCACUAAUCUGGAAAAUGGAUCAUGGGAUCACAUCCUUGUUCAUAGGGCUGGAAGGGACCCAGGAAGUCCAACCUCCUAAUGAAAGCAGGGCCAGCUAUGAUGUCAGGCCAGGUUCUGCUGGGCUUUAUUCAGUUAGGUCUUACAGACUUCUGAAGGUAGACUGUAAAACCUCUUUUGGCAGCCUCUUCCACUACUUGCCUGUCCUCGCUGCAAAAAAGUUUCUCGUUACAUCAAGUCUGAACCUUCUUCAGCUUAUGCCUGUUGUCUUUUGUCUACUUGCAAUGUAGUAGUGUGAAGAGCCUGGCUGAGUCUUCUUGGUAAGCUUGUGCAUAGUGCAUUGUGCAUAGUGGCCCACUUGGGGUGCUCUCUUCUCCAGGCUGAGCAAGUUCAUUCCCUUAUCUUCUCCUUACAGGGCUAGUACACCAGCCCCUGACCAGUUUGCUGGCCCUCUGCUGAACAUACUUCACUUUAUCAAGCUCUUUUGUUUUUCUGGGAGCUCAAAACUGGAGACAGAAUUUUUAGAUCCCCUGUCUGUGAGUGUAUCAACUGACCCCCACAAUUUAGUCAUCUGCAAAAGUUGAUAAUGAUGAUGUACUCUGUCACCUCCAGGUCACUGAUUAAGAAGUUGAACAGGAUGGGAUAAAUGCCUGCAGUACUUCAUUUGUUACUGGCCCCUAGUCAGAGUACCAGCCAUUUUUCUUUUCAGUCUGUUUAAUUUUCCACCCAUCCAGACUUCAGCAUCCUCAUACAAAUAUAAGAAUAUUGAAAGAGACAGUGCUUCUUGUGAGAAAAAUUGCAUAAUCAUUAUUGACUUUCAUGUUCUUAUUCAGAGUUAGAAAACUUUAAGUUAAUACUAUUAUAGUAUGACUUGCAGGUAUAAUACAGCAGUUUAAUAUAUUCUGCAGUGCAGUGCAAUUAAAAUAGGUCUCCUGUGUGGAUGAUGUUACAAGUCAUUAACCUAAACACAGUAAAGUCAAAUAGAGGAUAAGCAUUGCUUUGACUUGGAGAUACUUGUGUUUGUUUUUUUUUUUCCCUUCAUAGAUCUUUGCUUAGAUUUCCAAGUCUUAAAAGAUUUUUAAGACUCAUGUUUUCAGGACUGGAUUCCUGCAGAUGACCUGGCAAAAUGCCAAACUGAGAAAAUGUUUGUUUGAAAUGAAGUUUAGAUCAAUAAAGAGGACUUGAAAGGCUGGGAACUGGCUUUUUCUGUAUGUGUGUACUAUUCAUCAGAAAAGGAAAUCUGACAUAUUCAGUCCUCUACACUGUGUUCAGCUCUAUCUUUUUGAGCCUGAGACAUCUUCAAGGAACUCAGUUUUUGUCAUACUACUCCACUCAGCUUUUUUCACCCAACAGCAAGAAAAAGUAACAUGUGUGAUAUGUAUGUUACAUAUGUAUAUAUGUAUGAUACAUAUAUAUGUAAAAACUACUGGUGGUGUCAUAAUAUUAUGAAAUGCUAUAAAAUUGUAAUGCAUUCCCUGUGUCCAACGGAGCUCAUGCAACCAACUCCAAGACAGACCUGCUGCUGCAGGGGAACUGCAGCUUGUGGAAAGGGCUUAUGUUAGAGAAGUUCUUGGAGGACUAUCUCUCACACUGGGACCCCACGCUGGAGCAGGGGAAGAGUGUGAGGAGUCCUCCCCUGAAGAGGAAAGAGUAGCAGAAAUGUGUGAUGGACUGACCACAACCAACUGUUGAUGAUGGUAGGGAGGAGGAAGAGAAAAUUCAGGAGUGAAGUUGAGCCCAGGAAGAACAGAGGGAUGGGAAAAAGGUGUUUUUAAGAUUUGUUUUUAGUUCACAUUAUCCUACCCUGAUUUGAUUGGUGAAAAAUUAAACUUAUUUCCCC